Molecule: ribosomal RNA, 253 nt
Filed under: uncultured bacterium
Lineage: Bacteria
Description: partial 16S ribosomal RNA
Rfam family: Bacterial small subunit ribosomal RNA
Source: RNAcentral
UACGGGGGGGGCAAGCGUUGUUCGGAAUUACUGGGCGUAAAGGGCGCGUAGGCGGUUGGAUAAGUCAGCUGUGAAAACCACGGGCUUAACUCGUGGCCUGCAGUUGAGACUGUCUGGCUUGAGUGUGGGAGAGGAGAGUGGAAUUCCUGGUGUAGCGGUGAAAUGCGUAGAUAUCAGGAGGAACACCGGUGGCGAAGGCGGCUCUCUGGACCACAACUGACGCUGAGGAGCGAAAGCGUGGGGAGCGAACAGG